UCUGCAGGAUAGGUGUGUAUUGGUUAAAUGCUUUUGCUCUGCAUUCAUUACUGAAAGUAUUUCCUGCAAUAUUAAUUUGAGGAAAGUGGGCAGUUGGGUUGAGCUUGAUAGUCUCUUUCGCCAACAAUCAUUUUCCUGUCAUUU
This is a non-coding RNA of Hordeum vulgare subsp. vulgare (domesticated barley), 144 nucleotides long. The record is from Rfam. Lineage: Eukaryota; Viridiplantae; Streptophyta; Magnoliopsida; Poales; Poaceae.